UCGAUUGCACAGAACAACCGAACGUGGCAUCAAUGUCUGGCCGGGCAACCGGCUAUGGCGAUAAAGGCGCUCGUAAUAAGCGGAUCGGACCCGGGGGCGGUACCCGGCGGCUCCACCAAAAUCCCCCGGGUUGGCGGGAUCAUGGGGCCGAAACAGGAUCGACGAACGUCCAAAGGGGUAAGCUUUCGCUCGGUGAGGCACCACCGUCAUCGGUCCAAAACGCAUAGUUGCCAACACCAACUCUGCUCCGGUUCGUGCCCUCGCCGCGUAAGCGGCCCGGGUGAACCACCCUCAAGUCCUGUCGGGUAGCACCGCCAGGCGGGGCCCCCGGGAGCCUGGCAACAGAAUCCCGGAUC
RNAcentral lists this transfer-messenger RNA (356 nucleotides) under Defluviimonas salinarum. It matches the Rfam family "Alphaproteobacteria transfer-messenger RNA". Rfam says of the family: Bacterial tmRNA, also known as 10Sa RNA or SsrA, is named for its dual tRNA and mRNA-like properties. Its role is to liberate the mRNA from a stalled ribosome. To accomplish this part of the tmRNA is used as a reading frame that ends in a translation stop signal. Lineage: Bacteria; Pseudomonadati; Pseudomonadota; Alphaproteobacteria; Rhodobacterales; Paracoccaceae. The record is from RNAcentral.